ACACAUGCAAGUCGAACGAAGCGCUUAAAUGGAUUUCUUCGGAUUGAAGUUUUUGUGACUGAGUGGCGGACGGGUGAGUAACGCGUGGGUAACCUGCCUCAUACAGGGGGAUAACAGUUAGAAAUGACUGCUAAUACCGCAUAAGCGCACAGUGCUGCAUGGCACAGUGUGAAAAACUCCGGUGGUAUGAGAUGGACCCGCGUCUGAUUAGCUAGUUGGUGGGGUAACGGCCUACCAAGGCGACGAUCAGUAGCCGGCCUGAGAGGGUGAACGGCCACAUUGGGACUGAGACACGGCCCAAACUCCUACGGGAGGCAGCAGUGGGGAAUAUUGCACAAUGGGGGAAACCCUGAUGCAGCGACGCCGCGUGAGCGAAGAAGUAUUUCGGUAUGUAAAGCUCUAUCAGCAGGGAAGAAAAUGACGGUACCUGACUAAGAAGCACCGGCUAAAUACGUGCCAGCAGCCGCGGUAAUACGUAUGGUGCAAGCGUUAUCCGGAUUUACUGGGUGUAAAGGGAGCGUAGACGGUUGUGUAAGUCUGAUGUGAAAGCCCGGGGCUCAACCCCGGGACUGCAUUGGAAACUAUGUAACUAGAGUGUCGGAGAGGUAAGCGGAAUUCCUAGUGUAGCGGUGAAAUGCGUAGAUAUUAGGAGGAACACCAGUGGCGAAGGC
RNAcentral lists this ribosomal RNA (671 nucleotides) under uncultured Lachnospiraceae bacterium. RNAcentral describes it as "bacterial SSU rRNA". It matches the Rfam family "Bacterial small subunit ribosomal RNA", at positions 51 to 722 of the family's 1533-position model. Lineage: Bacteria; Bacillati; Bacillota; Clostridia; Lachnospirales; Lachnospiraceae. The record is from RNAcentral.